AUUGAACGCUGGCGGCAGGCUUAACACAUGCAAGUCGAGCGGGGUGAUGGUGCUUGCACUAUCACUUAGCGGCGGACGGGUGAGUAAUGCUUAGGAAUCUGCCUAUUAGUGGGGGACAACAUCUCGAAAGGGAUGCUAAUACCGCAUACGUCCUACGGGAGAAAGCAGGGGAUCACUUGUGACCUUGCGCUAAUAGAUGAGCCUAAGUCGGAUUAGCUAGGUGGUGGGGUAAAGGCCUACCAAGGCGACGAUCGGUGGCGGGUCUGAGAGGAUGAUCCGCCACACUGGGACUGAGACACGGCCCAGACUCCUACGGGAGGCAGCAGUGGGGAAUAUUGGACAAUGGGGGGAACCCUGAUCCAGCCAUGCCGCGUGUGUGAAGAAGGCCUUAUGGUUGUAAAGCACUUUAAGCGAGGAUGAGGCUCUUUUGGUUAAUACCCAAGAUGAGUGGACGUUACUCGCAGAAUAAGCACCGGCUAACUCUGUGCCAGCCGCCGCGGUAA
Molecule: ribosomal RNA, 503 nt
Filed under: uncultured bacterium
Lineage: Bacteria
Description: partial 16S ribosomal RNA
Rfam family: Bacterial small subunit ribosomal RNA
Source: RNAcentral